CUGAUGCAGCGACGCCGCGUGAGUGAAGAAGUAUUUCGGUAUGUAAAGCUCUAUCAGCAGGGAAGAAAAUGACGGUACCUGACUAAGAAGCCCCGGCUAACUACGUGCCAGCAGCCGCGGUAAUUA
Molecule: ribosomal RNA, 126 nt
Filed under: uncultured bacterium
Lineage: Bacteria
Description: partial 16S ribosomal RNA
Rfam family: Bacterial small subunit ribosomal RNA
Source: RNAcentral